UACGUAGGUGACAAGCGUUGUCCGGAAUUACUGGGUGUAAAGGGCGUGUAGGCGGGAUAGCAAGUCAGAUGUGAAAUUCCGGGGCUUAACCCCGGCACUGCAUCUGAAACUGUUAUUCUUGAGUGUCGGAGAGGAAAGUGGAAUUCCCAGUGUAGCGGUGAAAUGCGUAGAGAUUGGGAGGAACACCAGUGGCGAAGGCGGCUUUCUGGACGAUAACUGACGCUGAGGCGCGAAAGCGUGGGGAGCAAACAGG
Molecule: ribosomal RNA, 253 nt
Filed under: uncultured bacterium
Lineage: Bacteria
Description: partial 16S ribosomal RNA
Rfam family: Bacterial small subunit ribosomal RNA
Source: RNAcentral